UACGGAGGAUCCAAGCGUUAUCCGGAUUUAUUGGGUUUAAAGGGUGCGUAGGCGAAUUGAUAAGUUAGAGGUGAAAUGUCCGAGCUCAACUCGGGAACUGCCUCUAAUACUGUUGAUCUAGAGAGUAGAUGCGGUAGGCGGAAUGUAUGGUGUAGCGGUGAAAUGCUUAGAGAUCAUACAGAACACCGAUUGCGAAGGCAGCUUACCAAUCUAUAUCUGACGUUGAGGCACGAAAGCGUGGGGAGCAAACAGG
This 253-nucleotide ribosomal RNA is filed under the name uncultured bacterium. RNAcentral describes it as "partial 16S ribosomal RNA". It matches the Rfam family "Bacterial small subunit ribosomal RNA", at positions 524 to 776 of the family's 1533-position model. The record is from RNAcentral.